UGCAAUUAGUAGCAAUUAUUUAUGUUAUUGUUAUCUAUUAAUUUUAUAGGUACAUUGCCAUAAAAUUUAUACUGCUAAUUCUAACAUUUGUUGCAGCGAAUAGGUGAGCAUGUUCGAGAGCUUUCAAAACAGUUGUGAAAGAACUUGUGGAAUGUGGAAGAUAGUGGCCUGCAGAUACAGGAGGCGACACUCCUUCCUACAAGCUCUUAGGGUUUCUGUUGGUGAGGGUCAUCUUUUGGGGCUAUGAGGCUUAGGGCUUCUGGUGGGUUAAAGAGAUGUAGUUUGGGCUGGGUUUGCAUUUGUUGCUAGACUUCUUCCAGUUCUUUUCUGUUUAGCAGGCCUAAGCUUUUAGCUUGGGUUGUUCUUUAUGUUCUCUAUCAUUGGCUGUCGAGGCCAUAUUAUAAAAUUAGGAAUC
Molecule: unclassified non-coding RNA, 415 nt
Filed under: Hevea brasiliensis (rubber tree)
Lineage: Eukaryota; Viridiplantae; Streptophyta; Magnoliopsida; Malpighiales; Euphorbiaceae
Source: RNAcentral